UUAAGUUCAGCGGGUAUCCCUACCUGAUCCGAGGUCAACCAUUGAAAAAUAAACGUUGUCCGGCUGGAACGCCCGGGUGGCUCGAAGCGGGAGUCGUUACUACGCUCGAUCACCGGCCGCACCGCCGCUGCUUUCCAGGCGCGUCCCGGGGGACGCGCCCAAUACCAAGCCGGGCUUGAGGGUUGAAAUGACGCUCGAAC
Molecule: unclassified non-coding RNA, 200 nt
Filed under: Lecanoromycetes sp.
Lineage: Eukaryota; Fungi; Ascomycota; Lecanoromycetes
Description: partial internal transcribed spacer 2
Source: RNAcentral